Molecule: long non-coding RNA, 1234 nt
Filed under: Sinocyclocheilus rhinocerous
Lineage: Eukaryota; Metazoa; Chordata; Actinopteri; Cypriniformes; Cyprinidae
Description: lncRNA (ENSSRHG00000005567.1)
Source: RNAcentral
CAGCAACUGGAUGCGCUUUGUAAACUAUGCCCCGUCUCCUUGGCAACAGAAUCUUGCCUCAUUCCAAAUUGGAAUGCAGAUUUACUUCUAUGCCAUGAAGGUUCUAAUGCCGGGGGAGGAGCUGCUGGUGGGGCGGAGCCUAGAACACGAGCAGCCAAUGAGCACCAGCCUCAGAACUGCCUGUCUAAAACAGCCACUUCCCACACACUCUCAUUCUCAGCAUAAAGAUGAAGUGAGGAGGAGAAAGCGAGGUCACACGGUCACUGAAAUCCUGGAUCUGGAUCGCUGGACUGAUCAUCACACAGAAACUCUUCCAAACCAACCGUUUAACUCCAUCACACAAACGAAAUAUGGGGAAAAAGGGACCAGAGACCUGCAGAAUCCAAAAUUACCUCCAUUUUUAAUGACUAAUGCCACCUCUGAGGUCUCUUUAAACUUGAAAAUGGCAUCUAGUGUAGGGAAGCAUGUAUACACCUCUGCUAUCCCACAAUCCUCUAUGCCAGUGUAUACAUGGCCUGUUAUUCGAUACAUGCCGUCACAUCAGCCAGUGGGAUUUGGCCGAACAACACCACACAUGUGCCAUAAUAUUCCACCAAUCCACAUGUAUCCAUCUCUCUUGCAUCCAACAUCCAAUGAUAAUCAUCUGUCAUUAGAGUUGAUCAAUAGAGGCGACCCCGUAAUUAAAGUGACAGACUCUGUAAAGAGAGAAACGAAUCGUAAAGGCUCCACAAACCAACCGCCAGCCCUCACUAAAGCAACCGAUCCGUCUACGGCUGAAGUGUCCAGUGCUGAUGACAUCACAGCCCAGAGAGACUCACCUGAGAUGGGUGUGGCUUCCUCGGGUGUCUCCGCCUCCGCCCGUCACGGCACAGAGUCUCAGGCUGGCCAAAAGCGACAGAUUGUAGGUUACAAGGCUUUACCGUAUCCAUUACAGAGACAGAAUGGAAAGAUCCAGUAUGAGUGUAACGUGUGCGGAAAGAACUUCAGUCAACUGUCCAAUCUGAAGGUACAAGAUGAUGAUAUAUAAGGAAUUUGAUUAUUUUUAUCUAACAUUUUUAGAUUUUUUUUUUUAUUAUGGAAAAGGUAUUAAAAAUAAAAAUAUAUAUCAGGGUUAUUAUAAUUAACUAAAAAUAAAACCAUUUAAAAAAAAAAAAAAAAAAAAACAUUUUUCUUACUUAAAAUAAAAUAAACAUUAUCUAACAAAAUCUAACAAUUAUUUUUUGGUUUUUAUUUC